GCACUUUGGCUUAAUAGAGUUGAGCCCCAUCAGUUGUUAUGUUUGGCGAGUUGCACUCAAUUAAAUGCCGAUCACCAGGCGUUGUGUGCACACACUCACACAUCACACUCCAUCUAAAACUUCUUACCUCAAGCUCUUCUGCAGUUUUCAGGGUAGAUGAAAGAAAUAGACAGCUUUAACGAAGCUUGGCCACUGUAUUCAACAAAUGCAUUCUGUGUUUUGUGUGUAUGUUUUUCAGUAUACAAUAGAUUCCAAGGGGUGUUGAAUAUGAAAGAGUUGUCAUUAUAAGGAUCGUUUUUUCAAUGCGACAAAAAACAAGAACUUUUUUUGUCAACUUAAAGGUACAGUGUGUAGGAUUUAGUAGCAUCUAGUGGUGAGAUUGCUGAAUUGCAACCAACUGAAUACCCCUUCCUUUACAAGCGUGUACGAGAACCUGUAGUAGCCGUCAAAUGCUACAAAAACACCAAAGGCCCUUUCUAGAGUCUAUUGUAGAAAAAUGUCAGUGCCACCUGGCUGCUCCUUGGAAGACGACCCAUUCCCUAUGUAAGUAUUAAGGGCUCAUUCUAAGCUAAAGGAAACACAGCGUUUCAAAGUGACAAGUGAUUAUAGACUAAUGAAAACAUAAUUAGGAAUAAUACAUUCCACUUCUGCUAAUAGAUCCCCUAAAUACUCCACACUGCACCAUUCAAAGUAAACAGAAUGUUGCUGUGAUGUCUCAUUUUGUUUGUCUGACGAAAGAGAACAGUUCAAAGUCUGGUAUUGAGUCUCCACUAAGCCCUCAAACACCUUGUCAUUUAUUGAAAUCAGAUGGUGAUAGAUGUGCUGUGCAUGUUCUGAUGAGGUCUAAGCAAGCUGCACUCCCCACUGGUCCAGACUACUCUGUGUUCCAACUGAGAUACGUGGCAACCACGGACUACAGUCCCAACACGCAUGCAUACAUGCAUAAAACUUAAAGGCACAUUUGCCAAGAUAACAGAUUAAAUGAUGAUGCUUCAAGUAUGUUCGAGGGUCAGGCAUGAAGCCACUUGUUUAAAAAAAAGAAAGAAAGAAAGAAAGAAAGAAAGACAAGAGUGCUCAAUAGUAUUUCAGUCUGAAACAAAGAUGCCUAUUGUUGGUCUUCUCGUAAAUGUCUUACUGCUAUUAUUUUAUUCAGUGCAUGUAAUCAUGAGUGAAAGCAGUUGGAUACAGUAAGCUUCAGAAAUGUAGUAAUUCAUCACAUGUUUGGCCCUUUGUGAAAGACUGCCAGGAUCAGAGAUUUCUGCCUUAGCAUGCCAGUUUAUUCUGCAUUCGUCCUGAAGCACCUCUUGUAUAUUCAGGACGGGCAAUGUGUAUUAACUCAGUGUGCUUCAUGAUUAAUGAAGGGAUUUGAUUUUGAGUUGAACCACCACAGACACCCCUGACAAACGAAAUAUUCAGUUGUACCACCGCAAAAUCAAACACUUUAUUUUUUUUUUUUAAACCACACUUUCCCGGUAGCAUGGCUGAGGCAAGACGACAUGAAAUAACAACAAAAAACAAACGACUGAAAGGAGGAAGGCAUCGACAGCAUUCAGCUGAAGAAAAAGCGCAGCAAGAGAGAAUGAAGAGAAGACAUUCAGCUAGUUAUUACAGCAGAGCACCCAUACAGUAUCUACAUGUUAGUGUCAGUGAACUGUGUCUCCUUCAAAAGGACCGCUAGAGUUCUUAAAAGUUUGUUUCCCAAAAAACGCGUUAAAAAAGGUUCCCCCGCUUCUCCCUGGCUCCGCAGUAACAGUCUGUGCUUGUACAGCAAUCUCGCUGGAUGAUGUCAGGGGAACCUCCAUCUGGCUUUGUGAGGGAAAAAAAAAACCAGAGACAGAAGGGAGGAGAGACUUGUUGCAUGUAGGUCCUAACGGUUCUGCAGGAGGAAGAGAUGAGCAGCGCGUUAGUCCAAACAGUCUUCUAGCAGCAGGCACGAGCAGCUCAUACUAUCACACACACUG
Molecule: long non-coding RNA, 1961 nt
Organism: Clupea harengus (Atlantic herring)
Lineage: Eukaryota; Metazoa; Chordata; Actinopteri; Clupeiformes; Clupeidae
Source: Ensembl